Molecule: ribosomal RNA, 373 nt
Filed under: uncultured bacterium
Lineage: Bacteria
Description: bacterial SSU rRNA
Rfam family: Bacterial small subunit ribosomal RNA
Source: RNAcentral
GGAGGGGGCGAGCGUUAUUCGGAAUUAUUGGGCGUAAAGGGCGCGUAGGCGGCCCGAUAAGUCAAAGGUGAAAUCCCUCGGCUCAACUGAGGAACUGCCUUUGAAACUGUCGGGCUUGAGGCCGGGAGGGGGUGGCGGAAUUCCCAGUGUAGCGGUGAAAUGCGUAGAUAUUGGGAGGAACACCAGUGGCGAAGGCGGCCACCUGGACCGGUUCUGACGCUGAUGCGCGAAAGCGUGGGUAGCAAACAGGAUUAGAUACCCUGGUAGUCCACGCUGUAAACGAUGGGUGCUCGGUGUCGCGGGUAUCGACCCCUGCGGUGCCUUAGCUAACGCGUUAAGCACCCCGCCUGGGGAGUACGGUCGCAAGGCUGAA